CCCUUAGAUGUCCGGGGCCGCACGCGCGCUACACUGAAGGAAUCAGCGUGGCUUUCUCCCUGACCCGAAAGGGUUGGGAAACCCGUUGAAUCUCCUUCGUGAUAGGGAUUGGGGCUUGAAAUUGUUCCCCAUGAACGAGGAAUUCCCAGUAAGCGCGAGUCAUAAGCUCGCGUUGAUUACGUCCCUGCCCUUUGUACACACCGCCCGUCGCUACUACCGAUUGAACGGUUUAGUGAGGGCCUCGGAUUGGUCUCGCCCGCUCUUUACCGGGCGGCGCCGUUGGUCGAGAAGACGCUCGAACUUGAUCGUUUAGAGGAAGUAAAAGUCGUAACA
Molecule: ribosomal RNA, 333 nt
Filed under: uncultured eukaryote
Lineage: Eukaryota
Description: partial 18S ribosomal RNA
Rfam family: Eukaryotic small subunit ribosomal RNA
Source: RNAcentral